CCUACGGGAGGCUGCAGUGGGGAAUAUUGGACAAUGGGGGGAACCCUGAUCCAGCCAUGCCGCGUGUGUGAAGAAGGCCCUCGGGUUGUAAAGCACUUUCAGUGAGGAAGAACGCCUGGUGGUUAAUACCCAUCAGGAAAGACAUCACUCACAGAAGAAGCACCGGCUAACUCCGUGCCAGCAGCCGCGGUAAUACGGAGGGUGCGAGCGUUAAUCGGAAUUACUGGGCGUAAAGCGCGCGUAGGUGGCUUGAUAAGCCGGUUGUGAAAGCCCCGGGCUCAACCUGGGAACGGCAUCCGGAACUGUCAAGCUAGAGUGCAGGAGAGGAAGGUAGAAUUCCCGGUGUAGCGGUGAAAUGCGUUGAGAUCGGGAGGAAUACCAGUGGCGAAGGCGGCCUUCUGGACUGACACUGACACUGAGGUGCGAAAGCGUGGGUAGCAAACAGGAUUAGAUACCCCAGUAGUC
This 465-nucleotide ribosomal RNA is filed under the name Vreelandella stevensii. Its description in RNAcentral is "partial 16S ribosomal RNA". It matches the Rfam family "Bacterial small subunit ribosomal RNA", at positions 338 to 795 of the family's 1533-position model. Lineage: Bacteria; Pseudomonadati; Pseudomonadota; Gammaproteobacteria; Oceanospirillales; Halomonadaceae. The record is from RNAcentral.